GAUGAACGCUGGCGGCGUGCUUAACACAUGCCAGUCGAACGAAGCACUUUAUUUGAUUUCCUUCGGGACUGAUUAUUUUGUGACUGAGUGGCGGACGGGUGAGUAACGCGUGGGUAACCUGCCUUGUACAGGGGGAUAACAGUUGGAAACGGCUGCUAAUACCGCAUAAGCGCACGGCAUCGCAUGAUGCAGUGUGAAAAACUCCGGUGGUAUAAGAUGGACCCGCGUUGGAUUAGCUAGUUGGUGAGGUAACGGCCCACCAAGGCGACGAUCCAUAGCCGAACUGAGAAGGUGACCGGCCACAUUGGGACUGAGACACGGCCCAAACUCCUACGGGAGGCAGCAGUGGGGAAUAUUGCACAAUGGGCGAAAGCCUGAUGCAGCGACGCCGCGUGAGCGAAGAAGUAUUUCGGUAUGUAAAGCUCUAUCAGCAGGGAAGAUAAUGACGGUACCUGACUAAGAAGCACCGGCUAAAUACGUG
Molecule: ribosomal RNA, 481 nt
Filed under: uncultured bacterium
Lineage: Bacteria
Description: partial 16S ribosomal RNA
Rfam family: Bacterial small subunit ribosomal RNA
Source: RNAcentral